Long non-coding RNA from Triticum aestivum (bread wheat), 2413 nucleotides. RefSeq lists it as uncharacterized. The transcript is spliced from 2 exons. The record is from RefSeq and is a predicted model, not a curated record. Lineage: Eukaryota; Viridiplantae; Streptophyta; Magnoliopsida; Poales; Poaceae.
UCUGACGCGGCUCCCGCCGCCAGCCCCCUAGCGCCGACGUUGCUCCUGCCGCCGGCCGAUGCGCCUCCCGCCGACGCCCCCCGACCUAACUACCGCGGCCGCCUACCACAAAGGCCACCAUGGCCGCCACUCCCCCGUCGGCCUCGCGUAGCCCCACCCCGCCGGCCUCGCGCCACCCCUUCCCGCUGGCCCCGCGCGCCGCCUGGAUAGCCUCGCCACCGGACGCCCACGUCACCGUCCUCCGCCACGGUCAUGCUCCUCCCGGUGAUGUGCGUCACCAACGCCAGGAUCCCCACCUUAUCCCGCAUGUCGCGCGCCCCUCCCCACCGGCCUCUCUUCCGCACACGGCCACUGCCCGACCCACCCGCGAAGGCCACCAGUCACCCAUUGCUCCAGUCGCCGCUCAAAAAUCCAGAUGCAGUUCAGGGACUUCUGCUGCUGCAGGUCGCACCGCUCUACAUCCAUGAAGGUCGCCUCUUCCCUGCCCUUGCUCUGCAUCUAGUAGGCCAAAAAUUGUACAUCUGUAUUUCCAAGCAUUGACCCGUGAGGCUCAAGUUCCGCAGAAGUUCACGUACAGUAGAGCCUUAUAUCUGUUUUGACAGCAAGAUUAAUUAGAUCGGUGCCUUUCAGUUACAAUGCUAAUACAAAAAUGCGUCCACUUCCUGAAUAUGCAUCUUCCUUUGCUUUAAUCUUCCCUGAUCCUUUGCUUUAACCGUCCAAUAGCGACCGCCGUGCAGCCCAACCUCGCCUGUGCCUGCAGUGCCUCGUCAACCACUCGCUCGCAUAGAUCCUUUGCGGGACGCCGGCUGCGUGCUAGCUACUCGGCAUUCGCAUCUCCUCUCACUGCUAACUAUAGCCUGGAAUGCGUCUGCAUGAGCUCCAUGACAGGCUAUAUAUGGAGGCUACGGAACAACUAGAAUUUAACUUAUUUUAGUUUGUGCAUUUCUACUGCUGCCGAUAGAGAGGAGAACAACGAUGGUAUUUUUCUCUGAACUUUCAUCUACAUGUGUUGAGAUUAUGUCUCAGGCCAUGGCUAUUAAUUCUCCCUGAACUUUUUUGUGCGCCUGGUCCUGGUCAUUUUCAGGCUACAGCUAUUUUCUCUCUGAACACUUCUAGGGGCUAAAAAAGGCGGGGUGAUGUAGCAGUGGCGAAGUAGCCAUCAAUGAGGAGCAAUGGCACUGUUGGAUGAACUUCACGUGUCAAUGCCUCUGCGAAAAUGGUUUUGUGUAGUUUUGUAUUUUAGUGCAAGCACUCUCAACUCCUUGAAACCGCCCCACGCCCAGCUGAUGUGUUUAAGUGUCUUGCCAGUUUGCUUUGGCCUACAGAAGCUACUACUAUUUGUGUCUACAUCAGAACUCAGGUGUCUGGAGAAAAAUGCCUGUUGCAUCACAUUUGUUUGUGUUUAUCCUCUGAAAAAACUGGCCAUUGUUGCCGGCUUCGCAAGAUGCGUCAGUUCAGCUGCAAAAAAACGAGCAUUAUAUACCGUCGUCAAGCUCGCUCACUUGUUGGAAUGAAAAGACGACUGAAGGUCAAAAGAAAUUGUUCGAGAAGGUCAAAAGUAUGUUUAUAUUUUCUGGAACACCAACACUCUCUUGACAUCAUUGGUUAUCGAAUAAGUGUUGUCCAUCAUUUUCAUCAAUGCCUUAAUUGAUGAAAAGAAUGCUGCUGCUCGCUUCCAGUGCUAUGUGUGUGUUAGAACAUCUCUGUGUCUCACCUAUCUUAGCUAUUCUCCUGCUCUCUAAGGUACUAUCUUAAGCUUGUACAACUUGUUAGAACAAAUGAAAAUGUACUAAUCUGAAGUUCAGGGAUGAUGAAGAAAGAAGACAUGGGAUCUAGGAUCUUGUGAUUUUCCAUGAGACUCGGACAACCUCCCCGCACCAUCCUUCUCCCGUUGCGACCUCCCUUUCUGCCACGUCUCCAACGACCGCUGCUGCUGCUACCUCCCGGCUAUAUGAAAUGGGGUUGCUGCAGUCCGCAUUGUGCUACACCAGCAGGAUGGCUCCUUAAGAUCGUGCCACUCGUCCUUCUUCCAUCGACCAUGGUAGCCAUCACCGUCAGUAAAGCUAUACUCCAUGAUCAAUGUGUUUGCUGGGCGCGCUUGAUGCAUACGAGCGCCUCACACUGCGCUCCAGGGAAGUAGCCGGGGGAAGGAACUGGCUGCACACUCGCUGCUUUUGGCAUGGUCCAGUGGUGGUUCGCUAGGCGGCAGGUCAUGUUUAUGUGAGCUAGAAGUAAGAGUGUGAAGCGUUACAUAUGUUGCUUUGCUCAUGGGUUUGAGUGAGCGAAAUGUACAUGCACGGGAAAUGCGAAUGUGCCUUAUUAGUGAGUAUGUUGGUUGUGUCACCGUGUCAUCUAGGACAACUAGUAACGCUACACUGAUUUUGGAAAAUGUAAAUUAAAAUGUUAACGUUCA